UACGGGGGGGGCAAGCGUUGUUCGGAAUUACUGGGCGUAAAGGGCUCGUAGGCGGCCAACUAAGUCAGACGUGAAAUCCCCAGGCUCAACCUGGGAACUGCGUCUGAUACUGGAUGGCUUGAAUCCGGGAGAGGGAUGCAGAAUUCCAGGUGUAGCGGUGAAAUGCGUAGAUAUCUGGAGGAACACCGGUGGCGAAGGCGGCAUCCUGGGCCGGUAUUGACGCUGAGGAGCGAAAGCCAGGGGAGCAAACGGG
RNAcentral lists this ribosomal RNA (253 nucleotides) under uncultured bacterium. Its description in RNAcentral is "partial 16S ribosomal RNA". It matches the Rfam family "Bacterial small subunit ribosomal RNA", at positions 524 to 776 of the family's 1533-position model. The record is from RNAcentral.